AUUGAACGCUGGCGGCAUGCCUUACACAUGCAAGUCGAACGGCAGCGCGGGGCAACCUGGCGGCGAGUGGCGAACGGGUGAGUAAUAUAUCGGAACGUACCCUGGAGUGGGGGAUAACGUAGCGAAAGUUACGCUAAUACCGCAUACGAUCUAAGGAUGAAAGUGGGGAUCGCAAGACCUCAUGCUCCUGGAGCGGCCGAUAUCUGAUUAGCUAGUUGGUAGGGUAAAAGCCUACCAAGGCAUCGAUCAGUAGCUGGUCUGAGAGGACGACCAGCCACACUGGAACUGAGACACGGUCCAGACUCCUACGGGAGGCAGCAGUGGGGAAUUUUGGACAAUGGGCGCAAGCCUGAUCCAGCAAUGCCGCGUGAGUGAAGAAGGCCUUCGGGUUGUAAAGCUCUUUUGUCAGGGAAGAAACGGGUCUUUCUAAUACAGAGGCCUAAUGACGGUACCUGAAGAAUAAGCACCGGCUAACUACGUGCCAGCAGCCGCGGUAAUACGUAGGGUGCAAGCGUUAAUCGGAAUUACUGGGCGUAAAGCGUGCGCAGGCGGUUUUGUAAGUCUGUCGUGAAAUCCCCGGGCUCAACCUGGGAAUGGCGAUGGAGGCUGCAA
RNAcentral lists this ribosomal RNA (612 nucleotides) under uncultured bacterium. RNAcentral describes it as "bacterial SSU rRNA". It matches the Rfam family "Bacterial small subunit ribosomal RNA", at positions 28 to 638 of the family's 1533-position model. The record is from RNAcentral.